UGCUAAGUGUUAGUGCAGGAUGAAGACCUAUCGUUAGAGUUAUGAAAAACCACAGCAGCACAAGCAGCUAUAAUGAUUUAAGAGAAUAUGACUGCUGCUUUUCUCUCAUCUAAGAGGAUAGAGCUAACUGACAGAGAAAUGGAAGAUAAGAUUUGCCUGUCCUGACCCAGUCUAAAAAGUAGAAGUAACAUAGAAAGAGCAACAACAGGGGGAAGCUAAAGAGAUCAUGAUAAGAAUCUUGUAAGACUUGGGAAAAGAAGUACUAAUUCAGAGGUCCUCAUGGCAGAAUUUUACAGAGGUAAAAUAACUGCUCUGGAAAAGAAGGCAAGAAAGUAAAACAAGGCAAUUUCACCACAGCCAUCAUCAGGAACUCAGGGGCAAUUUGACUUAAAGCAGCUUGAAAUUUUAAAAGAAAAACAGAAAAUGCAAUCUGUUUUCUCAUUUGGUCUGUUUCCUCUUUAAACAAGCACACUCUAACUCUCUAAAGAUUUCCCCCUAAAAAGAAAACACAUUGCUCAGCUUGACCUAUAAUUUAAAUCACAAUUAAGCUUCCAGUUAGAAUGUAUCUUCAUCAUAAAUCUACUAUAAAUCCCCCAGUGUUCUGUUAAAUUGCCUUAGCCUCUUAAACAGCAGGACCCCAGUUUUAUU
Molecule: long non-coding RNA, 648 nt
Filed under: Homo sapiens (human)
Lineage: Eukaryota; Metazoa; Chordata; Mammalia; Primates; Hominidae
Description: HSALNT0153317
Source: RNAcentral